This 1486-nucleotide ribosomal RNA is filed under the name metagenome. Its description in RNAcentral is "bacterial SSU rRNA". It matches the Rfam family "Bacterial small subunit ribosomal RNA". The record is from RNAcentral.
GAGGUUGAUCAUGGCUCAGAUUGAACGCUGGCGGCAGGCCUAACACAUGCAAGUCGAACGGUAACAGGAAACAGCUUGCUGUUUCGCUGACGAGUGGCGGACGGGUGAGUAAUGUCUGGGAAACUGCCUGAUGGAGGGGGAUAACUACUGGAAACGGUAGCUAAUACCGCAUAACGUCGCAAGACCAAAGAGGGGGACCUUCGGGCCUCUUGCCAUCAGAUGUGCCCAGAUGGGAUUAGCUAGUAGGUGGGGUAACGGCUCACCUAGGCGACGAUCCCUAGCUGGUCUGAGAGGAUGACCAGCCACACUGGAACUGAGACACGGUCCAGACUCCUACGGGAGGCAGCAGUGGGAAAUAUUGCACAAUGGGCGCAAGCCUGAUGCAGCCAUGCCGCGGUAUGAAGAAGGCCUUCGGGUUGUAAAGUACUUUCAGCGGGGAGGAAGGGAGUAAAGUUAAUACCUUUGCUCAUUGACGUUACCCGCAGAAGAAGCACCGGCUAACUCCGUGCCAGCAGCCGCGGUAAUACGGAGGGUGCAAGCGUUAAUCGGAAUUACUGGGCGUAAAGCGCACGCAGGCGGUUUGUUAAGUCAGAUGUGAAAUCCCCGGGCUCAACCUGGGAACUGCAUCUGAUACUGGCAAGCUUGAGUCUCGUAGAGGGGGGUAGAAUUCCAGGUGUAGCGGUGAAAUGCGUAGAGAUCUGGAGGAAUACCGGUGGCGAAGGCGGCCCCCUGGACGAAGACUGACGCUCAGGUGCGAAAGCGUGGGGGCAAACAGGAUUAGAUACCCUGGUAGUCCACGCCGUAAACGAUGUCGACUUGGAGGUUGUGCCCUUGAGGCGUGGCUUCCGGAGCUAACGCGUUAAGUCGACCGCCUGGGGAGUACGGCCGCAAGGUUAAAACUCAAAUGAAUUGACGGGGGCCCGCACAAGCGGUGGAGCAUGUGGUUUAAUUCGAUGCAACGCGAAGAACCUUACCUGGUCUUGACAUCCACGGAAGUUUUCAGAGAUGAGAAUGUGCCUUCGGGAACCGUGAGACAGGUGCUGCAUGGCUGUCGUCAGCUCGUGUUGUGAAAUGUUGGGUUAAGUCCCGCAACGAGCGCAACCCUUAUCCUUUGUUGCCAGCGGUCCGGCCGGGAACUCAAAGGAGACUGCCAGUGAUAAACUGGAGGAAGGUGGGGAUGACGUCAAGUCAUCAUGGCCCUUACGACCAGGGCUACACACGUGCUACAAUGGCGCAUACAAAGAGAAGCGACCUCGCGAGAGCAAGCGGACCUCAUAAAGUGCGUCGUAGUCCGGAUUGGAGUCUGCAACUCGACUCCAUGAAGUCGGAAUCGCUAGUAAUCGUGGAUCAGAAUGCCACGGUGAAUACGUUCCCGGGCCUUGUACACACCGCCCGUCACACCAUGGGAGUGGGAUGCAAAAGAAGUAGGUAGCUUAACCUUCGGGAGGGCGCUUACCACUUUGUGAUUCAUGACUGGGGUGAAGCC